GCGGUUGUCAUAUAACGGCUAUUAUCCGGGCUUCCCAAGCCCGAGACGCGGGUCCGACUCCCGUCAACCGCU
This 72-nucleotide transfer RNA is filed under the name Treponema sp. Its description in RNAcentral is "tRNA-Gly". It matches the Rfam family "tRNA". From Rfam's summary of the family: Transfer RNA (tRNA) molecules are approximately 80 nucleotides in length. Their secondary structure includes four short double-helical elements and three loops (D, anti-codon, and T loops). The record is from RNAcentral. Lineage: Bacteria; Pseudomonadati; Spirochaetota; Spirochaetia; Treponematales; Treponemataceae. RNAcentral also lists the same sequence under 3 other names.